GUGAGGAAUAUUGGUCAAUGGGCGCAAGCCUGAACCAGCCAUGCCGCGUGCAGGAAGACGGUCCUAUGGAUUGUAAACUGCUUUUAUACAGGAAGAAACACCUCCACGUGUGGAGGCUUGACGGUACUGUAGGAAUAAGGAUCGGCUAACUCCGUGCCAGCAGCCGCGGUAAUACGGAGGGUGCACGCGUUAUCCGGAUUCACUGGGUUUAAAGGGUGCGUAGGCGGGCAGGUAAGUCAGUGGUGAAAUCCUAGAGCUUAACUCUAGAACUGCCAUUGAUACUAUCUGUCUUGAAUAUUGUGGAGGUAAGCGGAAUAUGUCAUGUAGCGGUGAAAUGCUUAGAUAUGACAUAGAACACCUAUUGCGAAGGCAGCUUACUACGCAUAUAUUGACGCUGAGGCACGAAAGCGUGGGGAUCAAACAGGAUUAGAAACCCCAGUAGUCC
RNAcentral lists this ribosomal RNA (445 nucleotides) under uncultured bacterium. RNAcentral describes it as "bacterial SSU rRNA". It matches the Rfam family "Bacterial small subunit ribosomal RNA", at positions 354 to 796 of the family's 1533-position model. The record is from RNAcentral.